UGCAGAAAUGCAGGAGGAUGCAUAGCCUGCAAUGUUCAAAACAUUCCCAUUACAUAUUACUAUGACAAGCAGGGCACUUGAAUUUAAAGGAUUGAAGGUCACAAUGUUUUAGCAGCAAAAAUAUUCGAGUGGACCAUGAAGUUUUCUACUUUUAUAAUGUGAAGGCACCAACUACCAAGAGCAGCUUUCUCACACGUCAUUUUGAAGUAAAACAUACUCUCUCUGGGAAAUAUUUGAGGCUUGAAAGAAUUAUGGUAUUCGAAAAAAUCAACGAAGAAGCAACAUCAUAGUUCUGGACCCAAAUUUACAAUGAAAAUAAAG
RNAcentral lists this unclassified non-coding RNA (321 nucleotides) under Hevea brasiliensis (rubber tree). Lineage: Eukaryota; Viridiplantae; Streptophyta; Magnoliopsida; Malpighiales; Euphorbiaceae. The record is from RNAcentral.